This 253-nucleotide ribosomal RNA is filed under the name uncultured bacterium. RNAcentral's name for it is "partial 16S ribosomal RNA". It matches the Rfam family "Bacterial small subunit ribosomal RNA", at positions 524 to 776 of the family's 1533-position model. The record is from RNAcentral.
UACGUAGGUGGCGAGCGUUGUCCGGAAUUACUGGGUGUAAAGGGCGCGUAGGCGGGGGCAUAAGUCAGAUGUGAAAUACCAUGGCUUAACUGUGGUGCUGCAUCUGAAACUAUGUUUCUUGAGUGCUGGAGAGGAAAGCGGAAUUCCUAGUGUAGCGGUGAAAUGCGUAGAUAUUAGGAGGAACACCAGUGGCGAAGGCGGCUUUCUGGACAGUAACUGACGCUGAUGCGCGAAAGCGUGGGGAGCAAACAGG